AAACGGCCUCUUAACGCCGCGCCGCCGUCUCGGAGGACCGAAGCGAAUAGAAAACGGACGGAACGAGGGGAAGAAAACCGGGUGGGGGACAAAAAAAAAUCCAUUCCGAAUAGCAUCACGAGGCUUAUACUCGUGGCGCAUAGAGGGGCGGCUUAAGUUGUUAACGAUAUCUGCAAAAGCUCUUUUGGCGACGUUAUGCAAAUAGGAAACUAUUAAAACGGUGCCGUGACGACGACGGCGGGGGGGCG
This is a non-coding RNA of Cinara cedri, 248 nucleotides long. The record is from the annotation of a GenBank genome assembly. NCBI's taxonomy places the organism in Eukaryota, Metazoa, Arthropoda, Insecta, Hemiptera, Aphididae.